GACGAACGCUGGCGGCGUGCUUAACACAUGCAAGUCGAACGGAAAGGCCUGCUUUCCCUUGUGGAUUGCGGGUACUCGCGUGGCGAACGGGUGAGUAACACGUGAGUGAUCUGCCCCCAACUUGGGUAUAAGCCUGGGAAACUGGGUCUAAUUCCCGAUAGGACUGCAGGGUGGUGCCUGUGGUGGAAAACGAUUUUCUAGUGGUUGGGGAUGAGCUCGCGGCCUAUCAGCUUGUUGGUGGGGUAAUGGCCUACCAAGGCGGCGACGGGUAGCCGGCCUGGGAGGGUGGACGGCCACAGUGGGACUGAGAUACGGCCCAGACUCCUACGGGAGGCAGCAGUGGGGAAGAUUGCACAAUGGGCGGAAGCCUGAUGCAGCGACGCCGCGUGGGGGAUGACGGCCUUCGGGUUGUAAACUCCUUUCGACCGCGAGGAAGCCACCUGGUUGGAAGGGUGGUGACGGUAGUGGUAGAAGAAGCACCGGCUAACUACGUG
RNAcentral lists this ribosomal RNA (494 nucleotides) under uncultured bacterium. Its description in RNAcentral is "partial 16S ribosomal RNA". It matches the Rfam family "Bacterial small subunit ribosomal RNA", at positions 28 to 507 of the family's 1533-position model. The record is from RNAcentral.